RNAcentral lists this ribosomal RNA (450 nucleotides) under uncultured bacterium. RNAcentral's name for it is "partial 16S ribosomal RNA". It matches the Rfam family "Bacterial small subunit ribosomal RNA", at positions 354 to 796 of the family's 1533-position model. The record is from RNAcentral.
GUGGGGAAUCUUCCGCAAUGGACGAAAGUCUGACGGAGCGACGCCGCGUGAGUGAAGAAGGCCUUCGGGUCGUAAAGCUCUGUCAUCAGGGACGAGCGGCCGGUGGAGUGGAAAGCCACCGGAUUGACGGUACCUGAGAAGGAAGCCACGGCUAACUACGUGCCAACAGCCGCGGUAAUACGUAGGUGGCAAGCGUUGUCCGGAAUUAUUGGGCGUAAAGCGCGCGCAGGUGGGAUCUUAAGUCCAUUUUUAAAGUUCGGAGCUCAACUCCGUGAUGGGAUGGAAACUGGGAUUCUUGAGUACCGGAGAGGAAAGCGGAAUUCCCCGUGUAGCGGUGAAAUGCGUAGAUAUGGGGAGGAACACCAGUGGCGAAGGCGGCUUUCUGGACGGUGUCUGACACUGAGGCGCGAAAGCCAGGGGAGCGAACGGGAUUAGAAACCCUGGUAGUCC